ACAGGGGGGGUACGGAUAUUAAAUGGAAUAGCCCAAUUUUGGCAGUAAAACGGCGAUUUUAAGCGCAGUAACCGAUCAAUCUUCAUUUUCUGCACGAAUUUUGCAAAUAAAUGGCACACUGCGUCUUCUUAGCGAAAGGGAAUUGAACGAAUACCAUUUUUAACGGCGAAAAUGAGAAAAGACACCCGAAGGAGUGAGAAUUUCUGGCAAUCUGAAGAUUCGAUUCUGUAGACAUGAACUCCAGCUGGAACUUGGCAACUUUAUAUGUGAGUUUUUUUUCUCUAGCUCAUAUAUAUGAAAUUAUCAAUAUAUUUUUGUGAAGUGCUAUGUUGUAUGAAAGGGUUGUCGUUAAUUUAAACAUUGCAUAAACAGCAUUCAGAUACGAAAAUGAACAUCAACAUUCAACAUGGACUGAUGGAGAUAUGGACAUGGAGCCACAGUACUCUAAAAUACUCAUAUAGACUUUAUUUAACUUAUAUGUUGACCCAAUGGUGGGGGAUUGGUCAAAUUAUACUUUAUAGUGAUUCCCCUAAAUUAGUGCAUUGGUUAUUGACAGUGCACUGACAACCUUUUUUUGGCUCUCAAAGACAAUUUCUCAGACAUGCCAAGUCACUGUACAUGUUUAAUAAAAAUCUAAUCUGUUUAUUUAUUUUAUUUUUUAUUUUGCUUUUCUAGAUUGCCAAUCAUUCCUGUUGAACUACAUUAUUCAUUACAAUGAAUCAGAUGCAGAAUCUUACAACUAUGUUAAUUUGUUCGCCUGAUUGGGGAAAACCUGAGACUAUUUGAUCUUAUAUUGGAAUGCCUACCAAUUUUACAUAGCCUCAGGCAAUGUUUAUAUAAUUAAUCUUGAGUAAUAGAGAUGCUGUACCCCCUGGCGGUGUGACCUUGCUACCUGGAUCAUCCCACUAGGCAAGACAAGUUCAAAACUUUCCAUGCAAACACUUUCAUGGCAGUUAAUUGCUAUAAUAGGAUAUGAAUAUAAUUUUGCCUUGCCAGGGUGGCUUGGGGGGGGAGUAGGAUUUCCCUAGUACCCGGAGACCAUAUAAACAGGCCUUCAGAUUACUGUAAUAGUUUAAUUGAGGUUCAAAAAAGCAGCCCCCCCCCCCCAAUGCAACUAAAAGUGGUAGGCCUGCUCUCCAAAUCCAGCCCCCCUUGGAAGAUGUACUGUAAAGCUAGACAAUUUUACUUGUUAGUUACCCAACUUGGUGCCCUGAUGCACCCUACUUUAUUAUUUUACUCUGUCUAACAGCAGACAAUUUUACUCAUCAAGGGGUGGGCACAUGACUUUAAAGGGAAAGUAUUAAUUGGGAAUACUUUCUCUUUUAAUGGGAAACUCUUUAUCAAUAAAAGGAACAAUGCAAUUAUUCAUAGUAUUUAACUUUUCAUAUAAAGCAGAGACUGUAAGAGGAAACAUGGAUCAUUGGCUACUUUUUUUAUUUAGUAUUAAUUUUCAUGACAACAUGUGGGGUCAACUAUAAAG
This is a non-coding RNA of Paramuricea clavata, 1480 nucleotides long. Lineage: Eukaryota; Metazoa; Cnidaria; Anthozoa; Malacalcyonacea; Plexauridae. The record is from the annotation of a GenBank genome assembly.